AGAGAGAGAGAGAGGGGACCUAGUGUAUCGGGUGGUUGGGGGGAGGCUUAGGAGGCUUUAAAGCGGACGAACCAACCUGACUACUCGAAUUGUACUAGUUCUUGACCUGUUCAGAUCAAUUAGGCCUUUCUUGAUGUAAACUUAUAUCUUAGUAAUAAGUGAAGCAGUUAUGACUUUACGAAUCACAUUAAUUAAAUCAAUCAAAGGAAUAGCUUUGACUCAUAAUCGUACCCAUAAGAUGUUGAAGAAAUUCAAGUAAUAAAACUGUAAACAUGUUUCAACAUCACAUGAUCUCAAUUUACAUCCGACAAAAACUUACAAAAGCUUGUUCCUCAACUUAAAUAUGCUCGGAAGAUAAAUUUCAUAUAGAACAUAAUAAAAUAAAAACUCAACCUACCAUAGAGAGAUUGUACAUACCCCAAUAGCCCAAAGAAACAACAUUGGUCUUCUCUUGAAUUAUUAUUCAAAUAUUCACAAAAUAUAAUGGAUUUCCCCUAUAUUAUACUAGUUUUUCAAACAUAAUAAAAGGAUAUAUUGAUGUAUAACUAACUCUUAAGAUGUAAGCUUAUUUACAAAGUUAAAAUUUCCUUUUACGAGGUGAUGUGAUUACUUGGGUUUCCGAUGAACAAAUUGUAAUCGCUAGGAGCAUAGUGUAAGCAAAAGUCAUUUCCAUGGAUACCUCUUCUCCUGAGGCUGAGUGGCUUAGGACUCUUAUUGGAAUUUAAUUCCUUCAAUUACUAAAUUUGGCUUGUAUUUUUGUUCAUCGUGUUAUGGCAAAGUUGCUAUUAACUUAUCAAAACAUAAGAAAAAUGAAUAAACACAAACAAGUCAUUUUUGUAGUGCUUAUUUUGCUAGGAAAUAAUAUUUGUCACUGUUUUCGAUUUUUUUUAUCAACCAAUCCAACUAAUCUAUCCUAUCAAUAAAACUAUUUUAUAUCCAAGCAUGUUUAACUUCUUCGGGUUGUUUCCUAGCAAAUGGAAAAUAUUUUCCAUCAAAUUUUGAGAUAGUUUUUCAAAAUCAUAUGAACAAAGGAAGGACUUAAGUGUCUUCCUAUGCCAUUACUAGCAGCACCCAGCAUAGCGAGUAUCAAGCAUGCCAGCCCAUAUUAACCAGCAAUGGCCCAUAUUGAACUACAUUGUUUUCAGGAUGACUCCACUUUCUUGAGGGUUGACGAGACAUGAAACUAAAAGUCAUACUUGGAACUGAUCCAGCCCUAGUGCAACAAACAACAAUCAGAUUUAGUUCAAUUACUAACCAACCCCAUAAAAGCUAAAUACAUGACAAUCAAAAAGGAGUUUCAAGAAGAGGGUCAGAAAUAGGCUUCUUUCAUGGUUUCUUUUUGUAUCUGGUCCAUGAUCACAUCCAAUGCACACACAUUUAAUGUGAUUUAAUUU
Molecule: long non-coding RNA, 1394 nt
Filed under: Phoenix dactylifera (date palm)
Lineage: Eukaryota; Viridiplantae; Streptophyta; Magnoliopsida; Arecales; Arecaceae
Description: long non-coding RNA (PDAC_LNC000169)
Source: RNAcentral